This is a non-coding RNA of Perkinsus marinus ATCC 50983, 64 nucleotides long. NCBI's taxonomy places the organism in Eukaryota, Perkinsozoa, Perkinsida, Perkinsidae. The record is from Rfam.
AUACCUUCUCGGCCUUUUGGCUAUGAUCAAGUGUAGUAUCUGUUCUUAUAAGUGUGACAACUUA